Molecule: non-coding RNA, 71 nt
Organism: Podarcis lilfordi (Lilford's wall lizard)
Lineage: Eukaryota; Metazoa; Chordata; Lepidosauria; Squamata; Lacertidae
Source: the annotation of a GenBank genome assembly
GGAUAGCUCAGUUUGGUUAGAGUGUGGUGCUGUUAAUGCCAGGGUUGCAGGUCCAAUGCCCGUAUGAGGCA